RNAcentral lists this ribosomal RNA (566 nucleotides) under Bipolaris sorokiniana. RNAcentral's name for it is "eukaryotic LSU rRNA". The stretch from base 181 to 334 matches the Rfam family "5.8S ribosomal RNA". The record is from RNAcentral. Lineage: Eukaryota; Fungi; Ascomycota; Dothideomycetes; Pleosporales; Pleosporaceae.
GGAUCAUUACACAACAAAAUAUGAAGGCCUGGCUUCGCGGCCGGCUGAAAUAUUUUUUUCACCCAUGUCUUUUGCGCACUUGUUGUUUCCUGGGCGGGUUCGCCCGCCACCAGGACCAAACCAUAAACCUUUUUUUUAUGCAGUUGCAAUCAGCGUCAGUAAAAACAAUGUAAUUAUUACAACUUUCAACAACGGAUCUCUUGGUUCUGGCAUCGAUGAAGAACGCAGCGAAAUGCGAUACGUAGUGUGAAUUGCAGAAUUCAGUGAAUCAUCGAAUCUUUGAACGCACAUUGCGCCCUUUGGUAUUCCAAAGGGCAUGCCUGUUCGAGCGUCAUUUGUACCUUCAAGCUUUGCUUGGUGUUGGGCGUUUUUUGUCUCCCUCUUUCUGGGAGACUCGCCUUAAAACGAUUGGCAGCCGGCCUACUGGUUUCGGAGCGCAGCACAUAUUUUGCGCUUUGUAUCAGGAGAAAAGGACGGUAAUCCAUCAAGACUCUACAUUUUUAACUUUUGACCUCGGAUCAGGUAGGGAUACCCGCUGAACUUAAGCAUAUCAAUAAGCGGAGAAA